AGAGUUUGAUCAUGGCUCAGGAUGAACGCUAGCGGCAGGCUUAAUACAUGCAAGUCGUGGGGCAGCACAGUGUAGCAAUACAUGGGUGGCGACCGGCAAACGGGUGCGGAACACGUACGCAACCUUCCUUUAACUGGAGAAUAGCCCGGGGAAACCCGGAUUAAUACUCCGUAACAUUAUGAAGUGGCAUCACUUUAUAAUUAUAGCUCCGGCGGUUGAAGAUGGGCGUGCGUCUGAUUAGGUAGUUGGCGGGGUAACGGCCCACCAAGCCUACGAUCAGUAACUGGUGUGAGAGCACGACCAGUCACACGGGCACUGAGACACGGGCCCGACUCCUACGGGAGGCAGCAGUAAGGAAUAUUGGUCAAUGGACGCAAGUCUGAACCAGCCAUGCCGCGUGGAGGAUGAAGGUCCUCUGGAUUGUAAACUUCUUUUAUUUGGGAAGAAACCACCGAUUUCUAUUGGUGUUGACGGUACCAGAUGAAUAAGCACCGGCUAACUCCGUGCCAGCAGCCGCGGUAAUACGGAGGGUGCAAGCGUUAUCCGGAUUCACUGGGUUUAAAGGGUGCGUAGGCGGAUUGGUAAGUCCGUGGUGAAAUCUCCAAGCUUAACUUGGAAACUGCCGUGGAUACUCUCAAUCUUGAAUAUAGUGGAGGUGAGCGGAAUAUGUCAUGUAGCGGUGAAAUGCUUAGAUAUGACAUAGAACACCCAUUGCGAAGGCAGCUCGCUACACUAUCAUUGACGCUGAGGCACGAAAGCGUGGGGAUCAAACAGGAUUAGAUACCCUAGUAGUCC
RNAcentral lists this ribosomal RNA (795 nucleotides) under uncultured bacterium. Its description in RNAcentral is "bacterial SSU rRNA". It matches the Rfam family "Bacterial small subunit ribosomal RNA", at positions 8 to 796 of the family's 1533-position model. The record is from RNAcentral.